This is a long non-coding RNA of Macrobrachium nipponense, 604 nucleotides long. RefSeq lists it as uncharacterized. Lineage: Eukaryota; Metazoa; Arthropoda; Malacostraca; Decapoda; Palaemonidae. The record is from RefSeq and is a predicted model, not a curated record. The transcript has 2 exons.
GAGAGAUAAUAAUAAGCUUAUCAGAUCUCUCUCCGAUCCAAGUUUCUUAUCUCUAGAGCGCUCGACAGCCACCAGUAGCCACUGCACACGACACAGCAGCAGCGCUAACGUUUUCCACCCGGCACGACACCGGCAAACCUUUUGCACACGGAAACCAGCAACCAUUUUAUAAAAUAAUGUGUAACUCCGUGUCUCAACCAGAAACGGCCGGGCGAAAGCCGUGGGGGUUCAGAACAGAUGGACUCCUCUACGUCAUCGGUUAAGCCCCGCCCAUAAACAUCCCGGCCGAGAUACCAGCUUCCUCUUCACGUGGCCUUGAUGAGACGUUUUCCGAGAACUUCGCACAACAGUUCCUCAUCACCAAUGGCACCGACGAGCGAGUGAUCGAUUUAUCGAGCUGAAAGACGACACGAAAAAUAAUUUUAAAAAAUGACGUCAUCGGCCUGGAAAUGGGCUGGAUUCCUUCGAAGUUGACCUGAUGUUCUCGGCGAUGGAUGACCUCGACCCAGGUCGAAGAAACAGGACCGGAUCACCUCAAGGUCGUAAUCUGUCAUUGGGUACCGUUGGGCCUCCAACGCUGCCUUCAAAUUCUACCAAAAUUUCU